UAACGGCGAGUGAAGCGGCUACAGCUCGAUUUGAAAGCUGGCCCUUUCAGGGUCCGCGUUGUAAUUUGUAGAGGAUGAUUCGGCGAGGGCUCCCGCCUAAGUCCCCUGGAACGGGGCGUCAUAGAGGGUGAGAAUCCCGUAUGCGGUGGGCUGCCUUAGCCAUGUGAAUCUCCUUCGACGAGUCGAGUUGUUUGGGAAUGCAGCUCUAAAUGGGAGGUAAAUUUCUUCUAAAGCUAAAUACCGGCCAGAGACCGAUAGCGCACAAGUAGAGUGAUCGAAAGAUGAAAAGCACUUUGGAAAGAGAGUUAAAAAGUACGUGAAAUUGUUGAAAGGGAAGCGCUUGCAACCAGACUUGUCCGCAGUUGCUCAGCCGGUCUCCUGACCGGCGUACUCUUCUGCGGCCAGGCCAGCAUCAGUUCGGGCGGUCGGAUAAAGACCUCGGGAAUGUGGCUCCUCUCGGGGAGUGUUAUAGCCCGGGGUGGAAUGCGGCCAGCCUGGACUGAGGAUCUCGCUUCGGCAAGGAUGCUGGCGUAAUGGUUGUAAGCGGCCCGUCUUGAAACACGGACCAAGGAGUCUAACAUCUAUGCGAGUGUUUGGGUGUCAAACCCAUACGCGUAAUGAAAGUGAACGGAGGUGGGAACCCGCAAGGGCGCACCAUCGGCCGAUCCUGAUGUCUUCGGAUGGAUUUGAGCAAGAGCAUAGCUGUUGGGACCCGAAAGAUGGUGAACUAUGCCUGAAUAGGGUGAAGCCAGAGGAAACUCUGGUGGAGGCUCGCAGCGGUUCUGACGUGCCAAUCGAUCGUCAAAUUUGGGUAUAGGGGCGAAAGACUAAUC
RNAcentral lists this ribosomal RNA (833 nucleotides) under Diplodia sp. 2 JZG-2016. Its description in RNAcentral is "eukaryotic LSU rRNA". It matches the Rfam family "Eukaryotic large subunit ribosomal RNA", at positions 84 to 936 of the family's 3401-position model. Lineage: Eukaryota; Fungi; Ascomycota; Dothideomycetes; Botryosphaeriales; Botryosphaeriaceae. The record is from RNAcentral.